GGGCUCGUGGUCUAGACGGUUAUGACGUCGCCUUCACACGGCGGAGGUCCCGAAUUCGAAUUUCGGCGGGCCCAC
This 75-nucleotide transfer RNA is filed under the name Methanosarcina mazei. RNAcentral describes it as "tRNA-Val". Lineage: Archaea; Methanobacteriati; Methanobacteriota; Methanomicrobia; Methanosarcinales; Methanosarcinaceae. The record is from RNAcentral.